GAGUCCUCUGCCAUUUGAAAUGGCCGAAACAGAGAGCUUGCAAGAGAGAGCUUGUGAGAGAGAUUGAGAGAGUGAGCGAGAUCAAGAUCGGGGGAAAGGGCCGAUGGUGAACGGUCGAUCGGCCAUAGCAACCGCAGCCGCAAGCGUUGCAGCGGCAAUGGCAGCUCGCAGGUAAGGCUGACUGGUGCUCUACGCGCGGAAGAGGGCUGGCGAGGCAGCCUCGGGGUUGAAGCGACCAAUGGUGGUUGCGGUGGCAAUCGGCGUUGGGCGUAGCCGAAAAUGAUGGAGGCUGCAAUGAAGGUCAGCCAUGGCAGCAGUGGCCGCGACUGGGAGGCUGUGUGCGAGGGACCUGCUGGCUGUGGCUGGCUGUGAGGGAGGCGAUCGAAAAUGGCCAACAGCGAUGGCGUCUGAUGCGGCGGAAGGCAGAAGCGGCCAAAGCUGGCCGAGCAGAGGCCGAUAGUGGCCGAGGGCAACCGCAGCGCGGCGGCCUGAUGCAGCGGAGCAACAGCGGACGGCCAUGGCAAUCGAGGCUGAGGGUGCUGGUGGAGGCGGCAGAGGCCGCGAGUGGUGGUCGGUGAGGCCAGCGGCGGCAGUGGCAGCCGCGCAAGCGCGCUGUGCUUGCCGUGAAGGAAGAAGAGGAUUUGAAGAAGAAUAAGUCUGGGUAGGAGAUGAUGAACAGUGGGAGGAGAAGGAAAAUAAAAAAAAAAAGAAAAUAAAAAUAAUGGAAAUUCUGGAAAAUAAGGGGAAAAUGGAGAAAAAUCCCGAAAAAUUUCAGAAAAAUAGGGGAAAGUUCUGGAAUUUAAAUUGGGGUUGGAGGAGCAUGUCAGGAGCUUGGAAGUGAGAUUUUUGGGUGCAAAUGGUAGCUCGGGAGGCAACGUCGGUGUGGGCGUUUCUAAAUUUCUCUCCAAAUGAGUCAAGGUUCGACCGGGAAGGCAAUUGUCCUAGAGGAACUUGAGAUUCAGGCUAGAAUUCGUGCCGAGGCAGAGUUGAGGCUUUGAGCCAGAUGAUGCAAGUCUGGAUGCAAGUAGGGAUGGCGCCGGGAGGCCGUUGUGGCAACUAGCUGAGUUGCCCGAGUUAUGUAUUUUUAAUAUUGCUUGUAUGUAGCUAGGGGGCGUGGUGUAUGUAUACCCUUGUGAGCAAAUGUCUGUGUUAUUGAGCUUAAAUGUAUUUAAUUGUUGUAAUCAUCAUAGUGUGAUUGAUGAUUGUGAGAUUGCUUGUUGAAUGUGGCAUAGUCGGUAAAGCCAAGUUUCGGACCGAGUCAGGAUCAGCAAGGUAUGUUCUCAUAAAUCCUCAAUACUCAGCGAAGUGUCUGUAUGCUAGCUUUGUGCCUGGGUCACCUCUAGCUUGCUAUGGAGUGAGUUGAAGAGAGGUGAAGCUCACUCGGGUUUCGGGUCUUGGUCCGCUGGAUUUUUCUUAUUUGAGUUGGGACCGAUUCCUGAGUGGAGCGAAGGGAAGGACGAAGCCUAGUUCCCGCCUAGGACGUUUCCUGUUGAAACAUAGUCCAACCCUUUAGUUGUGGUCGUCGGGUGAGUAAUCUGGUCGAUUAUUUACCGGUGGCGCCCGUAAGUGGGAGCGGGUCGUUACAGUUGGUAUCAGAGCAUGGCUAGCUGUAUGAGUGGGGAAGGCUAGCGUGCUUAAGUGUUAAGUAUGGUCGGUUAUGUGAUUAAUGUGAGUAAUUGCCAGAGUUUUGGAAUAGAGGAUGUCUGGCAUGAUUUGAAUGUAAGUCGAAAUGUCUUAACUGCUGAGUUGGGGGUCAAGAACAAUUGAUUUGAAAUUUUGAGAUUUCAAUGUAAGGUUGGUCCGAUAACCUUGAAAGUUGGACAUGUGGACCGAGGACCCUAAGGGAUUGGAUCAAGUCAUUAAGGCUUGAAAUGGUAUGUUUGGAUAUUCCUGUUCUUGGGAUGAGAAAAUACCCUCGAUUGAGAUGAUAUACCUGUGAGAGGUAUACGGGUUGAGCAAUGAGGAACCGAAAACCCGAGUGUGGGUGUUGGUAUCAAGAAAACUCGAAUGUGGCAUUUCGGGGAUAUGAAGUGUUUUAAGGAUGGGAACUCAUUGAGAUUGAAGUGUUGAGGCUCGUGUGGGGACACGAAGCCGAGGCUUGACUAGUCCGGGAGGGAAUUAGUGGAGCGUCCCUAUGUCAGGGAUUUACCGAGCAUGUUCGAGGGAAUAGAGUUAUCCCUUGGAAAUGGUGUAAUAAGGCUUGUGCGCUUGAGAUAGAGUGAACUAAAUAGAAGUUAGCUCGGGACUCAAGGAGAUGAGACGUCAGUGAGGCUUUAUGGGGAGUGUGCCUAUAAGGCAUCUGUAUGUCAUGGCCAAUGACGACAUGAAGUAAGUAGCAUCCGGAAGGACUCUGAGGGGAGUCAGGAUGCUAGAUGUAUGUGAUGCGAUGUGAUCGUAUUGUUAUGAUGAUCCUGGAGGGGACUUGACUAGGGUAUGAGUGGACCCUAUUUGGUUUCGUGAUGAGACGAAGUCUACCCUUGGGAAUGAUAGGCGUGUGGCAAGUGGACCCUAACGGGUGUUUGUAUGAGAUGGAAAUCCCAACUGAGUCGAGCUGAAAUCUAGGGGAAUCCAGAUUUGGGAUUAAGGAGUUGGGCAUGCAUUGAUAUGCGUGUGAGAGCCUUUGGGUUAAAAGUCCUAGUUGUGAAAGGCCAAAAGACCGUUCAUGUGAUUAAUGGAUGAGGGGCCAAUCAAAACUCUCAUUAUGACGCUUGGGGUCUGGUAGGACGCCUAAGGUCGGGAGAUGAGAGGUGAAUAGACCCUCAUUGUGAUACCUGGGGUUGCGAUGACGCCUAAGGUCACGAGACCCUUGAUGGGAGACGCGGAGGUCACCCAAUGAAGGGUAUGAACGGGUGUGUGUGGUCCGAGAGCGAUGAGUGUGUGGCAACAGGACAUCCAUAGGCAAUGCGCGCAAUGGAAAUGCCAACUUCGGAUGCCAAGUCGGCAGGGGCAGGGUGAACAAUGUCGAGGCCCCGAGUUUUAAAUUCCAAGUUAUGGAAGCCUGUGCAAGGCGUGCUAGAAGGCCAGGUCGGGCGUCGUGACUAAACGCACUAUGGGUGUGCAAGAAGAGACGGGAGGUCUCGAUUUACCGGGAGGGUAAUGGUAGGUGCUCGAUGGUUAUGGGUACCUAAGCUUAAGAUAGGCUCAGCAUGUUGGUUGUGGUUUGAGAGUCUCUUAAGCGGUAAGAGAUGCAGAGUCUUGAGAAGCGAGGCUCAUGAUAUGAGCUUGAGGUUAUCAAGGCAAGGAUAACCAAGUAAGAUGGCUUUGGUAAGAUUGUGGUGGAACCAUCGUAGUUCGGGAAGGCUUUCAGUAGCUUUGAUGCUACGGGUGCAAGGCUCGAUGUGACGGAUCUGAUGCUAUGGACCGUGUGGCAAAGGACUAAUGAGUUGGCUCACGUUGAGGGCAAGUGGCCCAUGAGCCUGAGCAAUUUAGUGAACUGCAGGUGACGAUCAGAUGCCGAAAACCUAGAGCAGCACCUUAAGAGAGUUAGCCAGGUGAGAUCGAUAGUCUCCUGCAAGGGACAGGACAUCUAGGGUAGUCCUAGGGAGAAAUCGUGGAACGUGAAAACGUUCUGAUGGAUUAGUAGUCGAGUAGGAAGCUUGGUAGGGCGAAGCUACGAGUGCGAAGCAAAUCAGUGAUGGGCCUGAGCAUGCUGUUGGAAACUGUUGUUGGGCCAGUGUAUGGGAGCAACACGGUAAUGAUGACCAGGUGUUGGCUCACCUAAAGCACAUGGCAACACAGUGAUUAUGCCGAUGGUCAGGGGCUAAAGAUUUGUGAAAUGCGGUAGGGUGACGAAAGUUGUGGCCAGUUCCACAACUCAACUGCUAGUAAUAAGAGUUGUAAGGGUGUUGCACCCAAGUGUGGUUUAAGCCCUUUAUCUCGUUAAAGUAGUGUCAAGGCCAUUUAGCGAAUGUUUGGGUGUUGUAGCGCUUUGAGAUGUUUGAGAAAGAAACUCGUGGAAAAUGAAUGGGUCUAGCGUAGGAAUAACGCUACAGUUGAUGCCUACGGUUGACGGGUCUAAUGCUAAGGACCACUGAAUAUAGACAGUUAGUUCACAGGAGGGACUGCAGCCCUCUAUGUGGAGUAACCUGUCUGCGGUGGAGACGAUUAGAUGCCGAAGACUUGGGGUAUGCUGUAGGUUAUGUCUGGGCCAGACCUAAAAUUCCGUAAGGGUUGAAAAAAUCAUGGUAGUGCCUUUGUUGUCUAGGCAGCAAGAAGGUUUGUGAGUCGAGUGGAUGAUACCUUGUGAUGUGAAAACAAGACGUGUGGCGAUGCUCCUUAUUAAAGGAUGCUAUCGCAGUUGUGGUUGAAUUUGAUCGAAUAAAUUGAGAUGAUGGAUCCUGUGUGACCUUGCGGUGAUGCAAGAAGAUGGGUUAAUUGGUGGAGUCGGUAAAUGACUCCAAGAUGUUACGUAAGUGCCGUGAAGGGCGAGACUUACAAGUUAGAAGCCAACCAUGAAAUCUGAAUGUUGAAGCGUGCAAAAGUUUCAAGUAUGGGGAUCUCUAAUCCUGUGAUGUGAGUUGUGGCAGGCUGAACGUGUGGCUGAGGCACGAUUUGAAAUUUGUGAAGGCUUGCAAUUGCACGGUCUAGUAUUAGUCCUGAUGUGUCGAUGCGAAAAUGAGGAAGUACCUUCAUGUGGCACUGGAUAGGUUUCCAGUUGUUGACACAAGAUUAGUUGCCAGGUGGUAGCACCUGAUGGCAAUGGUGAGAGCGUGAGGCUCGAGGACUGUGAUGUAAAGCCUUGUUGAUUAACCGUGUACAUAAAAGUUCAGCGGGUCCUGGUGGUUAGACCAGGUGAAUUUUAAGAAAGAGAUCCAAGGUGAUAAAAAAUGGUUGGUCAUGGUAGAAUUGUGCUUGAAGGAGUGUUACUCCGUAGCGGGAGUUAAAGAUGGUAGUGCUGAGAUGUGGCCUAGAAAGAACUUGGGAUGUUCUCCCAAGAAAGGUUGGGUAUGGGGCCACAAUACUAAAUGGACCUCCUAAGGCACUACCACUCUAACAGGAUGCAUCACCCGGGGAAAGCCAGCGUGAUGGCAAGUGCCUGAGUAGGAAUGUGAGUCCUACGGCAUCUAGUGGAAGUGUGAGUUCCACAAGAGUAGCAGGGGUGAUUUCCAGUGGGUGGAGUUAAAUCAAAAAUCAUAGUCGAUGAUUGCAAGAGUAGUGCCUGGAGAAAAGUUGUGUUGGUUAUGAGUCGGGCGAUCCGGUUAAAGCUAAUUGAGUUGAUUAGAUGGAAGGUGAAGGAGAAUUUAAAAUGUCACCAAUGGGUGGCUAGAGCUCAAAGGAAGAGCUUGUGGGACGAGAUUGGAUCCCAAGAAUGAUGUUUAGGUGAUGAAAUCACCUAAUAGCUGUGAGUGAUGCAGCUAGAGGGAUGUCUUGGAGUGUGGGCAAUUGAUGAGAUUUAACCUCGUGGCUAAAGGUUAACGAUGGUGAAAGGAAAUCAACUAGUGGAGUCGAUUGGUGAUAGGCCAGAAAUAACCAACGUCGACCGAAGUCGUCGACCGGUGAUAGCGGCAGCAGCAGUGCAGCGGCUGGCCAGGGUCGUGGGGCGUCGUGAGAGUAGUCAGUUACUAACGUAGGUGGCUCCUAAGUCGCGGUUGCGAUUGGAUGUGGCGCUAAGCGAUGGCAAGAGGUCGUCUUAGCUGAUGAUGAAGGCAUUAGAGCCAAUGUGGUCGCUCACUGAGGUGUGAGCUGAUUGAAGCAAAAGUUAUAAGAAGUCCGGGAGAAGCCAGAGUCUCUCAGGGUAUUGGCUAGCUGCUAUAAGCAUAACAAAGUGACUUGAGGAAGGCAGCCUAAGAGUGGGGUCGUGCUGGUUGCGAUGACCAGUAAGAUUUAAGGAGCAGCGAGUCUUUUGAGAUGGCAUGGUGGUGUCAUCGUUACUGUCAGGGAAAAGAUGUUGUCAGGAAGGUUAAAGGUAACCAUUAUGCAUGGUUUAAAUCAGGUGUUUAUCGCAAAUUGAGAAUGAACCUGAUUUUGGGAUUGCCAAAAAGUUUCGUGCCUCAAGAGUAAAAGGCUUUGUCGAGGAAUAGGGAGAUUUGAAAGGUCCCAAUGAAAUUGAAGCUGGGCGAGUAAAUUUGGCUAGAAGACCGUUAUAAGAGUGGGGGUGUAACCAUGUUAGCUUGUUGUGGUGCGGACCAAAGGCACAAGUCAUCUUACAGGUGCGAUGCAAUAAGGGGUUGUGCAGAUGGUAAUAAGCCAAUCACUUGUGCCACGCACCGUGGGUGAUGACGAUGGUCGAUUAAUGGUUCUGCGACCUUAAGCGAAAUGGUAGGAUCCUUGACUCGCGGUAGGGUUUAAUAGCCAAUGUAAGGCCUAGCAUGGGGCAUGAUUGUGAAAGCUGAAUCGGGUGAAAAAUUGAAGAGGGGUUGCUCAGUGAAGAGUUCACUUGUAUGGGUAAGAGACCCCUACUAGCGCGUGAUAUCGGGGGAGAGGGCCGAUGGUGAGCGGUCGAUCGGCCAUAGCAACCACAGCCGCAAGCGUUGCAGCGGCAAUGGCAGCUCGUAGGUAAGGCUGGCUGGGGCUCUACGCGCGGAAGAGGGCUGGCGAAGCAGCCUCGGGGUUGAAGCGACCAAUGGUGGCUGCGGUGGCAAUGGACGUUAGGCGUAGCCAGAAAUGAUGGAGGCUGCAACGAAGGUCAGCCAUGGCAGCAGUGGCCGCGACUGGGAGGCUGUGCGCGAGGGACCUGCUGGCUGUGGCCGGCUGUGAGGGAGGCGAUUGGAAAUGGCCAGCAGCGGUGGCGUCUGAUGCGGCGGAAGGCAGAAGAGGCCAAAGCUGGCUGAGCAGAGGCCGAUAGUGGUCGAGGGCAGCCGCAGCGCGGCGGCCUGAUGCAGUAGAGCAACAGCGGGCGGCCAUCGCAGUCGAGGCUGAGGGUGCUGGUGGAGGCGGCAAUGGCAGCCGCGCAAGCGCGCUGUGCUCGCCGUGAAGGAAGAAAAGGAUUUGAGGAAGAAGAAACGUGGGUAGGAGAUGAUGAACAGUGGGAGGAGAAGGAAAAUAAAAAAAAAUAAAAAUAAAAAUAAUGGAAAUUCUGGAAAAUAAGGGGAAAAUGGAGAAAAAUCCCGAAAAAUUUCAGAAAAAUAGGGGAAAGUUCUGGAAUUUAAAUUGGGGUUGGAGGAGCGUGUCGGGAGCUUGGAAGUGAGAUUUUUGGGCGCAAAUAGCAGCUCGGGAGGCAACGUCGGUGUGGGCGUUUCUGAAUUUCUCUCCAAAUGAGUCAAGGUAAAUUAAUAUUUUCUUCCUCAGUUAUUUGCGUUAAGUGAGUUAAUGUAAAAUAGUUAUUUGUUGGAUUAAAACCAAUGUCGGGGUUGUUUGAAAAAUUGUUGAUGGAUGGUUUUGAUGGUGUGUGUGGUGAAGUUGAGGGCAUUGGUUAAAUGCCGGAUGUUAAUAGAGUUGGGUUUGUGUGUAUUUGUAUCUAGGUUCGACCGAGAAGGCAAUGAUCCUAGAGGAACUUGAGAUUCAGGCUGGAAUUCGUGUCGAAGCAGAGUUGAGGCUUCGAGCUAGAUAAUGCAAGUCCGGAUGCAAGCAGGGAUGGCGCCGGGAGGCCGUUGUGGCAACUAGCUGAGUUGCCCGAGUUAUGUAUUUUUAAUAUUGCUUGUAUGUAGCCAGGAGGCGUGGUGUAUGUAUACCCUUGUGAGCAAAUGUCUGUGUUAUUGAGCUUAAAUGUAUUUAAUUGUUGUAAUCAUCAUAGUGUGAUUGAUGAUUGUGAGAUUGCUUGUUGAAUGUGGCAUAGUUGGUAAAGCCAAGUUUCGGACCGAGUCAGGAUCAGCAAGGUAUGUUCUCAUAAAUCCUCAAUACUCAGCGAAGUGUCUAUAUGCUAGCUUUGUGCUUGGGUCACCUCUAGCUUGCUAUGGGGUGAGCUGAAGAGAGGUGAAGCUCACUCGGGUUUCGGGUCUUGGUCCGCUGGAUUUUUCUUAUUUGAGUUGGGACCGAUUCCUGAGUGGAGCGAAGGGAAGGACGAAGCCUAGUUCCCACCUAGGGCGUUUCCUGUUGAAACAUAGUCCAACCCUUCAGUUGUGGUCGUCAGGUGAGUAAUCCGGUCGAUUAUUUACCGGUGGCGCCCGUAAGUGGGAGCGGGUCGUUACACCCGCUAGCAUCCAUUGCUGUUCUUUUCAGGUCUGCCAUUUUUCCCUCUUAGCCUUAUUUUUGAAAUCUUCCAAUCUAGAUCUUAAAUUAGAUUUAAUUUGAACCGAUCCACUUAGAUCCAUCACAUCCAUUUAGAUCUGACCCAUUAGAUUUGUCCCCAAAUUUGAUUAGAUCUAGUUAAUACCCCAAAUCCAUGUCAGGACCCAGGUUUCCAUGUGGUGCUUGCAAAAUCCUAAGGAGGAGAUGCACCCCAUUGUGUGUUUUUGCCCCUUAUUUUGGCCAUGAGGAUGCAACAUUUCAUUUUUCUGCCAUUCAUCAAGUCUUUAGUGCGAGUAAUGCUUCCAAAAUUCUGACCCAACUUCCGAUAGGUGACCGAUUUGGGGCAGCCAUUUCACUCAUUAUGGAAGCUCUAGCUCGGCUUCAAGAUCCUGUUUUCAGCUGUGUAUCCCAUAUUUUUUUCCUCGAACAACAGGUUGUUGAUCUCCAGCAAUAGGUUAUCGACUUGGAUGCCUAUGUAUCUUUAUUGUAUAAUUUUUUAUUUGCAAACAAUUCUGCGUAUCUUCAAUUGGUUCCAAAUUGGUCUCAACCAUAACCUCAUCCAAACCCUAUUCCUGCACCUAAUCCAAGCUUUGCUGACAUUUCUGGACCUAUUUCGCAUGGAUCACUACCCGUUGAUGAUCCAAAUUCAUUCGGAAGCUCUGGUUAUCCCAUUAUCUCAGAGGAUAUCUCACUUCCUAGCUUCCCAGAGACUUUUCCUCUAUUCCAUCCUGGCGAGACUAGCGGUAGCCAGUGGCCUGAAUAUCCCAACAUACCUGAACAUGCCACACUCCCUAGUUUUCUAGAGACUCUACCUUACCCUGGCGAGACUAACAGUAGCCCGUGGUUUGAAUAUCCCAACAUACCUGAUCAUGCCAUAUUCCCUAGUUUACCAGAGACUCUACCUUACCCUUGCGAGACUAGCGGUAGCCAAUGGUCUGCAUAUCCCAACAUACCCGAUCAUGCCACACUCCUUAGUUUACCAGAGACUUUACUUUACCCUGGCGAGACUAGCGGUAGCCAGUGGUCUGAAUAUCCCAACAUACCUAAUCAUGCCAUACUCCCUAGUUUACUAGAGACUCUAUCUUACCCUGACGAGACUAGCAGUAGCCAGUGGACUCUUUUAUGACGACGUCAAUGAGCUUGGACCCGAUAUUUUCGGGAGUCAUCAUCAGUAUUGAGUAUUGGCGACAUUUUGGGGUUUAACUCCCCCCCCCCCUUUUUUUUAAUUGUAUGGCUUGAUCUCUUAUAAUUAUAUUGAACAUAUGUAAUGAAUGUUAUAUUUGUGGGUACUCUAAUGUCUCAUUCAUAUAUCUUUAUCCUUAAUCGUGUAUCAAUCAUAAUUAUUUCAGCCUCUUAUAGUUGUUUAAUAAUUCAUCAAAUAUCGGCUCUUAAUUAUUACCUCUUUCAAAACUUGAUAAUUUUACGUCCUCAGUCAAGCCACACAUAGCUAGUCAUCAGAUAACCUUAAGUUAUUAAUGGCAAUUCCAAACCUAUUAUUUAAGAAUUAGGUCCAAUAAAUCUUCCGAGAGCACAUUCUGGUAUUUCUCUUACUCACUUUCUAACCUCUGCCAUUACUUGUCUCUCUCAAGCAUGCCAAAGGUUCUCACAGCUAUCGAGACAACUCUAUAUAGUCACACUACCAACUUGAGCAGGUAGGUACUUACGUCACCUACUGUACCCCAAUCCUCACUGAAUUUUUCUUCCUAAAACUCUAAAGUUUCAUAGGACUCUUUAGAUUCUCUAUGGUCCUUAAAACAUCAUUUAUUUAAAAAACAAAAUCCUCGAAAAUCCCAAACCGAUUUAUCUUUGAAGAUCCCAAAUCAAAUCACGUUAACUGGCUCCAAUCAUUUUCUAUAAACAACUGGACCUCAAAACUUCCAAGGAUUCUUUUUCAAAUGAUACUUUAAACCUCAAAUAACGAUUCAGUUUUUCCAUGCGUUUGCACAAGGCAUAAUUUAUUCGUGUGUCCUUUCUCACCAAUUUUUUUGAAUCCCCAAACUCACUUGGCACACUAAAUCAUAGGUACAAAUUUCGUCACCUAGGUCUAUCAUCAAUGCUGGUAAUCACGUCACCACAUAGGUAACGCCUAUACAUCAAGUUUACCAUGUCUAUUUCACACUUCGAAAAGCUCUUACUAUGCAACCCAACCAUAUCCUCAUGGCAAUUACAAACACGACCCGAUCCUAGACAUCGAGAUUAAUCUAUUUCUUGAGCCUCAUAAUGCUCGUCUCAUUUACCAACUCACAAAAUGACCAUGAACCUAGAUGUUAUAGGACACACCGUCCUAUUCAAGACGUCACACUCUUCUUUCUCUUUAGAUCAUGUCUUCACAAAUACUAUCCAUCUUAUUUUGGGUCGAUUUCCUAGGCUUCUAGCAUUUUUCUACCAGCUAGUGGCACACCUCGCACUCCAGUUCAUUGAAACUUGGACCCCAUCAUCUUAGUCAAUGUUAUUUUCCUAUUCUUAGAAGUAUCUAAGUCUGGCAUCAUAUCUAUUUUCUUUGACCCAAAUCCUAGGGUUCUUGAUCUACACAUAUUAUUUUCGAUACUCUAAAUGAUUCUCGAAAAUUCUUAUCAUUCGAUCCUAACUCAACAGCUAGGUUAUGUCACAUCAAACUGAUCAUCCAUGAUUCAAUCAUUCUUGAUAACUACUAGUUAUUGCAAUGAUUUCAACUAAUGACCUCAAAUCAGCAGUCUCUAAAUCUCUCAUAAUCAUGGUUAUCGAGUCAACCUUACACCCGAAACUCAUUAUCGGUCCCUAACUUCAAUAGCUAGAUUAUUUCGCUUGCCUCAGCUUCCAUUAGACUUUCACUAUUUACCGAGAAUAGUGGUUGUAUACUGGAAUUGUGUCUAUUCAUGAAUAGUACACUAGGUAAGUUCCCAGGAAAGAGAGGUGGGUCACAAACAGACACACUUAAAUACCAAGUCUUUCCUUAGCCAGAACUUUCCUAGACAUGCACUUCUACUACACCACACUUAAAUCUAGUAACUUUUGAGACUUCGAUUAUCCAUCCCCGAAUCUCUAAAUAGAGAUUUCUAAAUCUAAGUUUUUCUAAACCUCAGUUUCAUGGAUUCUUGAUGAUCCUUCCUAAGUUUUCUUAUGGUUCGCUCUGAUACCAAUUGUAAUGCCUCGUCUUCCGAGCGCGUUAAAACUCAGGAUAAUUCUGGGAUAGUUUUUUUCCUUUUUUUUUAUACUACUAAAACUAAGACUAAACCAUAUCAUUACUCUUAUCCAUCCCAAAAUUUUCAUUCAUUUAUCUCCAAGAAGAAUCAUCAUAAACAUUAAAUGCAGAAGCUAGAAUUGAACCUAAUAUCAUAACAUUAAUCAUAAAUCAACUCUUACAUCACGGGAACAUAAAUUUCUCAACAUGACUUAAUACAUAACAUAAGUUCUCAACUAACAUUAACCCUAAAUAGGGUUUUACAUCAUCAUUUCUCAAACGUUCAGAAUUUGAAGUAACAGAACAUAAAUACAUGAGCUACAUAACAUAAAUUCAACUGAUCAUACAACUCAUCAUGCACUUUGCUAAGUGCCAUUACAUGCCUUAUUUGUCCUCGUUUCUGCUACAAUCUUCAUCUGGAACGUCCAGGGGCAAAGCCCAAGUUAGAUGAUGAAUCAUCUAAGUAAUGGAAACAAAACAUUUAAUGCUCAUGUAUGUAUGCAAUGCACAUAACAUCAUAACUCUCAUAUUUGGGUCGACUGCACCUUAAGAUUACCCGUCAUUUUUCCAGUCUCCCUGCCAGACCGGGGCGUAUAGGUGCACCAUUGGCAAAAUAAUAGAGCCAGUACCUAAUCUCAAACCCAUGGAACGUAUGAUCGUGAAUCUCAUCAUGCUCAUAUGCAUACUUUGUCAUCAAUACAUGUAAAUGCAAUCCACAUGACAUGUUUACAUCAAGGCAUGACAACAUGAUGAAAAUAUUUACAUAAAAUUAGGUUUUGGUAGAACCACUUGCAAGCCAUUUUCAUAAACUAAAUCCAGUUGAAUAGUACCACUUACCUUAUAAAAAGAUCAUUUUGCCCCUAGCGUAAUUUUGUUUCAAAAUUCGCAUCGGACUUCCAAUUGUACUCAAUUAUGAACCUUGACCUACCCUGACACCAUAAUUACUUAAGAAAAUCAGAUUUCUAAUUUUUCUCUAAAUUUUUUAAUUUCUCAAAUUUCCUCCUAUUAUUUCCUCAAGAUUAUGAAAUAAAUACUUUCUCAUAAAAUUUUCUCAAUUUCUCUUCACAAUAAUUCCUAAAACAAUAUUCCUAAGCCCCAGAAAUUUUCUCAUAAUUUUUAAAAUCCAUUUUCUAUUUAUUUCUCAUUUUAUCUUUGAUUUUCAAGCAUCUAUUGCCUCAAAAAUCCAUAAUAAAUACUAAUCAUGCAUUUUCCUUCCAAUUUCACCAUCAAAAAUUAUAAAAUAUCAUUCUAAUAUUUCUGAAAUUUUUAAAGAAAAUUUUGAAGAUAACUUACCUUCCCACGGAGUGAUUCGGUAUUCUUCUAUAUUGCGAUGAAGUCUUGAUUUGCGUAUCCAACAACAUCUUUUGCUACAAAUUUUCACACGAACUACUAAAUCCAACCUAUAGCAUUUUUCUAAAAAAUUUUUGGUAUUUUUCUCUAUAUUCUUUCUUUCUCUUUCUCAAAUCUCUCUCUUACUCUCAAAUCGUGCAUCUCCACCCACUGAUAUAGCCCCUCCUCCCCCAAGGAAGCAAGCCUCUUUUGAUAAACAUCCAAGAAGAAAUGAUUUGCGACAAACUUCCUCGGCUAGAAGGCGUGGCUCCAAAGGCUUUGGGGAUUGGUCUUUGCAUCGUCACAACCCCACAAGCUCAGUCUUGGGCCACACAUCACUUGAGGGGGUGCCGGCGCAUCGACAAUCGAAUUUGAACUUGAGGGACCAGGAACAUCGGUAGCCAGCUUAGAGCUCGAAGAGCCUGACGCAUUAGAAGCUUGAUUCAAAGGACCUGGCACAUUAAGAGCUUGAAUUGAACUCGAAUGCCCUGGUCUGUCGGUUACCCGGCAUCUCUUCCACUGUGGAGGAACCACUUGAACCUUCGGCAGGGAGGAAGUACCAGCGACAACCACAAAAAUUAGUCGAACAGGAAAAUGACCCUUCAAUCUCACAAUAGCAACCUUCCCCUUGUUUACAGUCACCUCAAAGGGCACUUCGAUGCUUUUCUCCGCCACACGCCUCUCCACUUCCUCUACCGUCAAACUCGACACCAUAUGCCCUAAAAUAGGAAGCCCCAAUAAGAACCAUGGUUAGCGAAAACUAAACAAAGACACAUAGUAGUAACGUACCCAUGUAUUCAGAUAGAGCCCGAGGAUCCGCCCUGAAUUCUACAAGCUUUGCAGACUCAAGCUGGGGAGAAAACAUAAAUGCAUCCAAACUUAGGCCCUCGUACUGCGCCUCUAUAGGAGGGCUUGGCUCCAACUGCCAACAUAAGGGAAACUUCUUUUGGCUAUACUCAUCUAAGAAAAAACUGAGCUCUUUCUCUGCCAAGGCCACCUUGAAGAAGCUAUCCUUAAAAUGCUUAAGGGAAGAGGUGAAGGCUUUCAACAGCGAUUUCCUCGUGCAUCUCGUUAGGGAAAUCCAACUAUCCCUGUCGACCCCUUUCCAGUGAUAGUGGUGGAAAAAAACCCCCGUGGUAGUUCUACAGCCAAGAAACUCGACCAACACCUCGAAACCACGUAUGAAGCCCCAACCAUUUGGAUGAAGCUGCGUCGGGGUGACAUUCAUCGCCUAUAAAAUUGAGCCCUGAAACUCAAUCAGGGGGAGCUGCAGAUAUAGUUUUGAAAAGAGUACCUCGUAGAUAUAAACAGACUCGAGGUCCGGGAUCGAGUGGUAAAUUCGCUCAUCUCUUCCACAUGAGGAGAACUUCUUCCUGAUUGCCUCCAUAGACAAGUCGAUGGUAAACUUCGACUUGAUCCAAGCAACCUUUUCAUUUACCCAGUCAUACGUGCGAAUGGAGUUUGAAGUCGAAAAAGCCAUUGAAGAACAUACUAGCACAAUUUCGCCGCAAGGGGAGGCAAGACAAACGAAUAGUUCAAAGAUAAAUCCGAGAAAUAAGCACACAAGGAAGAAACGCAUAUUAAUAGGCAUCGUGUGAGACGCCCAACGGACAAGCAACGACCAGUGCAAUUCCGCCACAUAUCUCACCGUUAACACCCUGAUGAACCUGCCCCACCUAGGGUAGUGGGUCGCUGCAUGUCCCCAGACGACGCCUCACAUUCUCGGACAAGCACCUCGAUUCCCGGGGCCCACAUGCAAUCAAGUAAGGAUGUCAGUGUAACACUCCGAAAUCCCUAGUCAGUCACAACCAGACAGGUCGGUAUGCCGCCGGGCCCAGUACCAAACUACUCAAAAGCAACUCGACAAAACAUCCGCAAGCUCGGAUUCCCCCCCCCCAGCGAGCAUCCAACCAAAAGAGCCAAGAGGUCUAGCAAUUUGAUCCUACCCCGCAGAUACUGAACCCUGGACAUAACAAGUCCAUAAAAGCAUCAGGAUCACGAAGGUCGAGUAAGACAAGCACCAGAAAAAAGACAGUAGGAAUAGAACAUUACGAAAGAAGAGAAAUAGUAGUUUAUUAUGAAAUAAAAAGUGCAAAGUUACAAGACUUAUGCACCACAUCUCUACGGAAAGCCUACGCUAUCAUACAGCCCGACUUGGAAUCAUGUCUCGACUGGACUUCCCUUCACCAGGUCCGCUAGAUAACCGUCCUUGAUACCUUGAGAGGACCAAAGGCCGAGAGAUCCAAUUCCAGAAAGACAACUCGGACGUGGGACAGAGCCACUUCAUACCCCUCCCCUUUGGCCUCGGCUACCUCAUCCUUUGAUCUCUCCACUUCGGACCGACCUGCUGCCACCUUAGCUUUCGCUUUCAUAUCUAUCUCAAUCACCUCGACCCUAGCUAAUGCCACUUUUGCUUUCAGCCUUACCAGCUGUAUGUUCGGCCUCGUCGGCCCAGCUCUUUGCCUCAGCAGUAGCUACCUCCACGGCCUUCUUAAUUUCCCCUUUUGCCAAUUCCCCGGCCUGACACAAUUCCUUUUCAUGGUCUGCCUUUAUCUUGGCAAGCCGAGUCACUAUACUCACCUUAAGCAAACGACAAUCCACAGCAAGCUAGAGCACCGACGCUCGACCUGACGGAAAGCAGUCGGUUGCUUCAGAUCCAAUAACUUUCAAUUUGACAACGGAUCAAGAUAAGCAUCGAUAAAAAGUUCACUCCAGAAUUUGGGGUCCUGAAAUGAAAUCGAGUAGCUCCCAGGACUAGCGAGACUCAAACCGCCUGACGGUUGAGUCUCCCCCUCAGAACCCUUCUGCCGCUUCUUGUGUCGAGCCAACUCCUCAGAGACAAUGGGCUCCCAGAGCCUAGGGACCGAAGGCUUAGUGGCAACAGUAGUAAGAGGGGGUCAUGCUACAAAGGGAGCCAGCGUUAGCACAGCUAGGGCUUUAUCGAGCACUUUAUCUACCAUUACAGAGCCCUUGCAAGGUCAUUUUCUCCUUGCAGAGUUUUUCCAACUCUUCCUUAAGAUCUUUCUUACAAAAUGUGAAUGCCAUUUGCCCUACAAAAAUAAUACGUAGGCACGAGAAUGAGCAAAGAAAUGAUCGCUUGCAUGGUUUGUAAAAUCCCCGCACCCCCCAUCACAGAUCUAUGAUAGCGAAAGGAUUUCGAAUUCAGGGAGUUACCUGAACUAAGCAGUUUGAGGAGCGCAAGGGGAAAACACAAUCUCAACCAGAAGCCUCAAAGACACUAAGAGUUCAAAAAUCACAAGAAGCAAAAGAAACCCUAGCCUAAAAGAGAUCUUUAUAAGGAUCGCUGAGCAACGCUUACGACACAUCCAACGGUUAAGGGUCACCCAUUGUUGAUCCACCGCUAUAACACCACCACCUGUUGCAUAUCCAAAGGGCCAUCAGUUAUCUACCCACAUCAUCCAACUCCUUGAAUCUAGCGCUUUGAAUCUUAAGACCACACGUGUGAAGAAGGAUCACUUCACUGUAAGAACCAAGCCAACUUUAAAUAUUCUUAAGACUCGUAUUCGCCUAAGCAACGCGGGACGCCGAUUCAGUCAUUUACCCCAACUGAGCACUAUCACCAACCCAACCCUCAGACUCGACUAGAAAUAACAAAACUCGUCCAGACUUCACCUCUUCUAGCUCGAACGCUCGCUUCUCGAGCAUCUGACCUGGGGGGUUGUGGACCAUCCCAGCCCAAUCUUGGCCCAUCUCUAAUGGCCCAAUCUCAACCUAGCUCUCAUGGCCCAAUCUCGGCCUAAUCUUGGCCAUACGCCAGCCUAUAGCAGUAUCAUUACAGCCCCAUACUAGGUAUCCGUGUGCUCGCUCAAGAUCCCAUCCUCAUUUAUGGUAGAUCUCAUCCUCAUUAUAGUAGAUCCCAUCCACAUUAAUGAGGGAUUCGUCGACACCCUGUUACCACCUGGGAACCUCCACGGCGUCCGAUACUCAGUCCCAUCACCUGUAAACAUAUAAUGCAUGCAUGUAGGAUGGCAUCUCUUCCUUCUAUAUGAACUUACUCUCUUCAGAGCCAAGGUAUGUUCUUCUCUUUGAUCCACUGAUACUCUGCCACUUUUUACUCCCUUACUUAUUCGAGCGUUGGAGUGCUUGCAGGUGCCAUCCGCCCCCCCUGACGGACCGAUCACCGAGGCCCAUCCCUUGCUGUUGCAGGCUCACCUCCGACCACUCUUUUUUCAGGAAGGAACACUAGUGUAACUUCCCUAACAAACCAACCCGGUACGAAACCUUAGGUAGUAAUCCCGACAUGCACACAAGGCAAUGGGAUACCCCUAAACGUUGUUCUAGCAAUACCCUUGGGGAAUUACGACCACACUAUUAGGGCGACAUCCCAUCACAUGCACAAGUAUCAAUAUGCCAAUAAUAUCAUGCUAUGAGAAAUAUCACGACUUUCAAUGCAACAGUAUAUGUACUGAUAUGACAAAAUGCUCACAAAUUACAUAUUAGUUAGAAAUCCUCUAGAAAACAUGCAUAAUAUGGAAAAAUCUCAUUACGCAAGCCAUUACGGAUGAAACCACUCACCCUUUUCACAAAGUUCAAAACACCUCGAAAAAUGUGUACUGCCUCAAUUUUUGUGCUACACCUCAAAAGUUGCACAGACGCUCAACCUCAAGCCUCAAAGUACCUAUGCAUCAUAUUUAAUCAAAUAAAUAUCAACACCUAUUUUUUCAUAAUUUCUUCAUUUUAUUUCUCUAUUUCCUUCCUAUUUUUCUCUUUGAAAAAUUCAAAAUAAAUAUAUACUCAAACAUUUUUUCAAAUAUUUUUGCACCAAAAUUCCUAAAAUAAUUUUCUCAAAAUUUUGAAAAAAAAAAAAAUUAGAAAAUACCUAUUGGCCACGUGCCCUCAUGCUCACUAUGCGUGGACUGAGAGUGAAAGCUAGUGCGUGAGCUUCACGCGCCAGUCGUCUUCUCCUGCUCCGGUAUACUAGUGAUGUUGGAUUUUGCUCCUGGAUUGCUCUACUCCCUCAGUCCAUCGCAAUGGCCUGCUUGGAGGCUUGAAAGGAUGAUUGGAAGUGGUCCAACCAGUCGAUCAAAGUCUUGGCCAACUCGUUUGUCUAGGUUUCCAGCGAAGCUUUAGAUCUCACUCAAACCUACACCUUUGUCCACCAAAAUCUCCAGAAACACUCUACAACUCACAAGGAUCAAAAGUCCCUUAUCCCUUUCCUUCAAUUAAACCCAAAACGAAAGAAAUUUGAGCUUGAAAUUCUGAAAACCCUCAGUCUCUUCGACAUCUAUUUAUAGCCAAAAUCGAGCCUCCAAAUGUCCAUUCAAAUCUAAUCCAAGGUCAUUAAUAGCCUCACAUCCCUUAGAUCGACCCAAAACCCUCAUUUAAAGCCCUGAAAUAAUCCCCUCAAGGCCUUGAUUUUAUGGCCAAGACACGACCGAAUUUUCUACUCAAAUCGGCCACCGACAUGGCCGAUUCUCGGCCGUGGAUGACUCCCAAGGCAACUAGCCUUAGCCUUGACCCCUUUGGAGCCUCCCUCGAAGCCUUCACAGGUUGCAAUUGGUAAUGGGAGAGGUGACCGAUGGUUGGUAGUGUUCACACUGCCAGUCUUUUUUGAAAUUCCACUUUUGCCCUCAAACUUUUGAAAUUCCAUUUCUACCAUUUCCAAAUAGCCCCUUAACUUACCAUAAAUUCCAUUGAGACCCUCAAGUUUAAACUCUCCAUUUACACCCCAAAGAUUUAGAAAUUACAUCGUUUCAAUCUCCUUCAAGCAGUUUUAAGAAAUUACACUUUGGCUCGAAUAAACGAUUUGAUCGAAAAUCCUUUUGUUUCAACCCAAAACCACUUAACAGUUGUUCCUCAUGCAAAAUUUUGACUUUUUUGAGGGUUUCGUUGAUUUCUCGAAAGUCCCUUAUGACAAUUCAUUUUUUCAGCCUAAACCAAAGCUGUACCAAAAACUGCAUCUGAUCCAAUUUCUUUCAACGCUAAGAAUCAUGCCUCGAGAUCCUCGUUAGGAACAUACCUAUUUCCAUAGGUAUCUAAGCUCCCAGGCAUUCCCUCUGGUGGAUUUAGUCACUUUCUCAAGCUAUUAUGAUACUGAUAUUUUGCAUUUCUUUUCAGAUUCUUAUUUCAAAAGUAAUCCAAAGUUUUUGGGUAUUACACCCAUCACCCUACAAUGCCCGAUGCAAGCAUGCAUGUAGGAGGACCUCUCAUCCUCAUAUAUAAGCCAACUCUGCCUAGAGCCAAGGUAUGUUCUUUCUAGUCUACCAAUACUCGGCCCAUUUAUUCUCUUACUUACUUGAGCGUUAGAGUGCUUGCAAGUGCUCGCCAUUCCCGAGUCUGUUCCCUGCCGUCGCAAGCUUCCAUCCAACCACCCUCUUUUAGGUAGGUAGGAAAAUCCAUUAUUAUUCACUAUCUAGAGCAGUUGAUGUAAGAAUGAUAGGAAUGAGGGAAUGGCAUUACAGUUUCUUUGGAACACAAGACCUUGAUUUGCCAUGUGAUUGAUUAUGGACCCAAUUUGGUGAUUUUCCAAUAAGGCAUUCAACUACAACCGUAAUUGUCGCAAUUGAAACCUGAAAUCACUUCACUCCUUGUUACCUUAAUAAUUUCUACAACAAGGACAACAUAGAUUUCCAAAUUACAAGAAGUUAAUUGGUUUCAUUUCCUUUCUUUCUGGCCAAAUCUAGCAGUUAUAACUUCUCAUUUUUUGUAUUUGGAGCUAUCUCCCCCUCCUUCCCAGAUAGACCAUGAAUUUCCCCCUCAAAAUGGAAUUCAUUUCCUCAACAAUUUCAGUUGAGAAGUUGAUGAUCCUAUUGUAUUUUCAAGAAUGGAAUGCGAAAAACAUUAACAAGGCUCUUCCUUCAAUCACUGCUGGAGCACUCAUCCACUUAAUUAGUCUUUUGAAAAGAUAACAAAAGAACCCAUUUAAGAAGACAAUUGCUUAAAGGCAAUCGUCAAAAACAGAAAAAAGAGAAAAAAAAAAAAAAGAUAAUUGCUUAAGCUAGCUUUUUUAUUUGGUGAAUGAUUCAAAAUCUAGGUGCCAGUGGCAGAGCUUUGGGAGGAAUGGUCAUCAGCAAGGGUUUCAAAGGAGUAGGGAAGUAAUCCCUUCUCCUUGCAGGUGUCAAUGGCUCCUUUGAACAUGUCCUCCAAGCUGUACUUGAACUUGGAUCCCAUUCCUAUCAGCUUCUUCUGUUAGUCCAUGUUGGUCCCUUAGGGUAUGGCUACUCAAGAGGGGGGUGAAUUGAAUAAUUAAUUUUUUUCUCCUUUUUAAUAAAUAUUAUUGAUUAAUUAUUUUCUUUAAAAAUAUAUAUUUGAUAAUUAAAAUAAAUUAUGUUUGAGAUUAAUAAUUAAUACAAACCACGCGAUAUAACAAAAAUAAAUAAAACGAAGCAUAAACCAAUUUAUAGUGGUUCGGUAUUUUCACACACACCUAAUCCACUCUCCCAAGGCCUAGCCUGUAAUGCUCCGCCUCUCCAGGGCAUUAUAUUUAUGUUAGGGUUUUUUAUUUUUUUUAUUUACAUACUCGAAUCAUUCCAAAAUCCUCAACAUAAUCGUAUAAAAAUAACAUUCCCAAAAUAGAACUAGGGAACAAUAAACUUAAUCAUAAAUGGAAGUAGAAUCAAAAUCUAAUGAUCUUGAAAAUUAAUACAUAAAAGAUCACAUCACUCCGUCCAACAUAAUAUUACAAUAAUAGUUUAAAAUCAAACAUGAAACCAAUUGAAAUACUGGUCCUAGCCUUGGCAUAAGGCCCACAAAAACUUCCAUCACGCUCAUGCCUCAAUCACUCCCUUGCCUUUUCGGUCGCUCGUCUCGCCUAGAAUGUGGAAUAUUUCAGGGACAGAUGUCUGACAUUAGAAGAUGGAUCUUCUAAGAGAGUGUUAUAAUAACAUGUAUGUAUAAUGCAUGGACUCACAUAAACAGAUGCCCUAAUGUAACUUUCCUGGCAAACCAGUCUGGCACGAAACCCAAGGCAAUAGUCCCAUCUUGCACACAAGGCAAUGAAUUACUCCUAUACAUUAUUCCAAUAAUACCCUUGGGGAAUUACGACUACACUAUCAGGGCAACAUCCCAUCCCAUUCACAAAUAACAAUAUGCUAACAAUAUCAUGUUAUGUGAAAAGUCACAUUUAUCAAUGCAACAGUAUAUGUACAAAUAUGACAAUAUGUUUGCAAUUUACAUAAUACUUAGCAAUUUUCGAGAAUAACAUGCAUAGUAAAGGAAAUCUCAUCAAGUAUAAACCUUUGGGGCAAAACCACUCACCAUUCAAACCAGAUUCAAAACACCUCGAAAAGCGUGCACAGCCUCAGUUUGAGUGUAAAGCCUCAAAAGUCGCAACAACACUAAAUCUUGAGCCACAAAACACCCUAUUCAUCAUAUUUAUUCAAAUAAAUAUCAAACCCUAUUUUUCACAUUUUUUUCCAAUUUUUAUCUAUUUUUCUCCAAUUCUUUUCUCUGAUAUUCCAAAAUAAAUACGUACUUAAACAUUUUUUCAAAUAUUUUUGCACCAAAAUUCCUAAACUAAAUUCCUAAGAAUUUAAAAAAAAUUCAAAAUAUACCUGCUUGGCACACGCCCUUAUGCGCUGGCGCAUGAGAUGUAAGUGAGAACUGACGUAUGCAACCCACGCGCUGGUCGUCUUUACUGGCUCUAGCACACUGGCGAUGAUAGCUUUUUCUACAAGCUUGUUCUACUCCUUUAGUCGAUCAAGAUGGUGGGCUUGGAUGCUUGAAAAGACAGUCUGAAAUGGUACAAUCGGAGGUUUAAACUCUUGACCAAUACACUCGCCUCAUUUUUUCGGCAACACUCAAAACCUUACCAAACCUAUGAGAAAGCUCUCCAAAACCUCCAGAAACACUCCCCAACCUUAAAGGAACAAAAUCCACUUAUCCCUUGUUCUCAAUUCAACCCAAAACAAGAGAAAUUUGAGUUUUAAUUUUCGGAAAGCCUAGCCCCUUCGACCUCUAUUUAUACUCGAAACCGAGCCUCCAAACAUCCAAUCUCGUUUAAUCCAAGGCCAUAAACACUUCUUCUUACCCUAGAUCGGUCCAAAAACCUCAAUGAAAGCCCCUAAAACUCGAUUACAGAGGCCCAAAAUUUUGGCCAUAUCCGCCGUCAACACAGCUAAUUGUCGACCAAGGAACAGCUUAGGCAUAGCCCUGAGGCCCCUUAGCCUAAUCCCUCGAGUCUCCCAUUAACAAAAUUGACGUUGAGAGGUGUGGCUAGAAGCUUGGUCGACCAUGGUUGUCCAAGUUUUUGAAAAAUUCCACUUUUGCCUCUCUCAAGUUUCAAAAUUCCAUUUCAUCCCUUUUUACAAAGUCCCUGGGCUUUCCAAAAUUUCUAUUGGGACCUUCAUGUUCUAAACUUCUCAUUUGACUUCUGAAGAUUCAGAAAUAACGUCAUUUUUACCUCCCUUGGGCAAUUUUAAAAAAUUAUACUUUGGCCCAGAAUUAUGCUUUGAUUGCGAAACCCUCUUGUUUCAUCCCGAAACUAUUUAAGGGUUGUUUCUUAUGAAAAAAUUGAAACCUUUCAAGGUUUUUUUGACUUUUUGAAAGUCCCUUAUGUCAAUUUAGUUUUUCAGCCUGAACCGAAUUUGUACUGAAAAAUGUCUUUAAUCU
Diospyros lotus (date-plum) is the source of this 22165-nucleotide long non-coding RNA. RefSeq lists it as uncharacterized. The transcript has 4 exons. Lineage: Eukaryota; Viridiplantae; Streptophyta; Magnoliopsida; Ericales; Ebenaceae. The record is from RefSeq and is a predicted model, not a curated record.